Molecule: long non-coding RNA, 969 nt
Organism: Bactrocera latifrons
Lineage: Eukaryota; Metazoa; Arthropoda; Insecta; Diptera; Tephritidae
Exons: 4
Source: RefSeq, a predicted model, not a curated record
AAUGUAAACGGGUGGAACGAUGUCAAGGUUAUUGGAGUGUAUUUUGGGAAUAGCAAAUCAGCAAGCGCAAACGAAUUUCUUACAAAAUUUGUAGAUGAACUACUUAUUUUAAUGGAAAAUGGAAUAUUUUUUAACGAAAAACAUUACUCUGUAAAUUGUCGAGCUUUUAUAUGUGUCACACCUGCGCGUGCGUUUAUCCUUGGUAUCAAAGGGCAUUGUGGAUAUUCGUGUUGUCCUAAAUGCAUACAGAAAGGCCAGUCUAAAAAUCACAAAAUAAUUUUUGUUAAAGAAAAUAGUCUUCCUCGAACUGUUGAUGAUUAAUUCGAACAUAUAAACGUACAUAAAUUAUUCGGACAGAAAAUGGAUUUUAACCACAUCAUAGAAAAAGCAUCAGAAAAUACUCCUGUAACUAAAAAAGGAUAUUGGACCGUAUAAAACAGUCGGAAAAUAAAAUACUGAAAGAAAUAGACCACACUCAAAAAUUCUUAAAGAGGGCCCUGACACGAAUUUUGCAAGAAACAAAGCAGACUACAAAGACAAGCCACAAAUCACGAAGUUAGCUGCUCCUGAAAGUUCCAUUUGAUAACUUGGAACAAUUUCAAAAUUUCGAAAAGGAUAUACAGGAGCAUUCCAGCAAAUUUAAUGAAUUGAAGGAGGAAUUUUUCACAGUAUCUGGCCACACAGCUGAAAAGUUCGUAAAAAAUUCUUGGCGCCAAAUUUUUACCGAUGGUGUUGCGCAGAAUUUGUGUUGGAAGGGUACGAAGGAUAAAAUGGCUGUGAGACCCUUAAGUGUAACAGCUGCCUUAAAAAGUAUAGUUCUUCACAUUUUCGAAAUUUUACAAAACUAAUUAUUUUGUUUCAAGUACAUUUUCGUCUAAAUUCCCUCAUGCGACAGAUAUAGAUUUUGAGCGCACGUCUAUAGUCUUCUUCCAGCAUGCUAAAGAAGAAAAAGGCAUACGACUCCAAAAA